RNAcentral lists this ribosomal RNA (883 nucleotides) under Shigella sp. RNAcentral's name for it is "bacterial SSU rRNA". Lineage: Bacteria; Pseudomonadati; Pseudomonadota; Gammaproteobacteria; Enterobacterales; Enterobacteriaceae. The record is from RNAcentral.
UAAGAGUUUKRWWUAUGGCUCAGAUUGAACGCUGGCGGCAGGCCUAACACAUGCAAGUCGAACGGUAACAGGAAGCAGCUUGCUGYUUCGCUGACGAGUGGCGGACGGGUGAGUAAUGUCUGGGAAACUGCSUGAUGGAGGGGGAUAACUACUGGAAACGGUAGCUAAUACCGCAUAACGUCGCAAGACCAAAGAGGGGGACCUUCGGGCCUCUUGCCAUCGGAUGUGCCCAGAUGGGAUUAGCUAGUAGGUGGGGUAACGGCUCACCWAGGCGACGAUCCCUAGCUGGUCUGAGAGGAUGACCASCCACACUGGAACUGAGACACGGUCCAGACUCCUACGGGAGGCAGCAGUGGGGAAUAUUGCACAAUGGGCGCAAGCCUGAUGCAGCCAUGCCGCGUGUAUGAAGAAGGCCUUCGGGUUGUAAAGUACUUUCAGCGGGGAGGAAGGGAGUAAAGUUAAUACCUUUGCUCAUUGACGUUACCCGCAGAAGAAGCACCGGCUAACUCCGUGCCAGCAGCCGCGGUAAUACGGAGGGUGCAAGCGUUAAUCGGAAUUACUGGGCGUAAAGCGCACGCAGGCGGUUUGUUAAGUCAGAUGUGAAAUCCCCGGGCUCAACCUGGGAACUGCAUCUGAUACUGGCAAGCUUGAGUCUCGUAGAGGGGGGUAGAAUUCCAGGUGUAGCGGUGAAAUGSGUAGAGAUCUGGAGGAAUACCGGUGGCGAAGGCGGCCCCCUGGACGAAGACUGACGCUCAGGUGCGAAAGCGUGGGGAGCAAMCAGGAUUAGAUACCCUGGUAGUCCACGCCGUAAACGAUGUCGACUUGGAGGUUGUGCCCUUGAGGCGUGGCUUCCGGAGCUAACGCGUUAAGUCGACCGCCYUGA